Molecule: long non-coding RNA, 355 nt
Organism: Melospiza georgiana
Lineage: Eukaryota; Metazoa; Chordata; Aves; Passeriformes; Passerellidae
Exons: 3
Source: RefSeq, a predicted model, not a curated record
AGAGAAAAGAGAUUCUGAAAAUUAUGCAAAUUGAGGGGUACUUCAGAUCUGGAAAAUAUAACCUGAUUUUGAACUCCAGAGAAGCACAACAGAGCCACUACAUCUGGUUUCAGAUUAUUCCCAAACAUCAGAAGCUCAGUGUUUAAAGGGACAGUCCAGUACCUAAGGAAAUAAUCAGUGUAAUCAAAUGCAAUCAUUGCUGUAGCAGCAACUUCUUCCAGAUCAGUGGAGAAAAUGCUUGUUUCAAACUUGGGUCUGUAACUUAGUUGUAAACUAAAAAUCUCGUAUGAGGACUGCAUUCUCUUGAAACAGCUCUUGAAAUUUGGAAAGUUAUUUAAAGAAUCUUUUGAAUUCC